Molecule: ribosomal RNA, 619 nt
Filed under: uncultured bacterium
Lineage: Bacteria
Description: bacterial SSU rRNA
Rfam family: Bacterial small subunit ribosomal RNA (bases 1-542)
Source: RNAcentral
CCUACGGGAGGCAGCAGUGGGGAAUUUUGGACAAUGGGCGAAAGCCUGAUCCAGCCAUACCGCGUGCGGGAAGAAGGCCUUCGGGUUGUAAACCGCUUUUGUCAGGGAAGAAAUGCUUCGGGCUAAUACCCUGGGGUGAUGACGGUACCUGAAGAAUAAGCACCGGCUAACUACGUGCCAGCAGCCGCGGUAAUACGUAGGGUGCAAGCGUUAAUCGGAAUUACUGGGCGUAAAGCGUGCGCAGGCGGUUCUAUAAGACAGAUGUGAAAUCCCCGGGCUCAACCUGGGAACUGCAUUUGUGACUGUAGAGCUAGAGUACGGUAGAGGGGGAUGGAAUUCCGCGUGUAGCAGUGAAAUGCGUAGAUAUGCGGAGGAACACCGAUGGCGAAGGCAAUCCCCUGGACCUGUACUGACGCUCAUGCACGAAAGCGUGGGGAGCAAACAGGAUUAGAUACCCUGGUAGUCCACGCCCUAAACGAUGUCAACUGGUUGUUGGGAGGGUUUCUUCUCAGUAACGAAGCUAACGCGUGAAGUUGACCGCCUGGGGAGACGGCGCGAGUAAGUAAGUAAAGUUAAGUUAGUAGCGUUGAGACGNGCGAGGACGACGACGAGGGAGAGG